GAUGAACGUUGGCGGCGUGCCUAAUACAUGCAAGUCGAACGCGAAGCUUGAUUUCGGUCGAGCGGAGAGUGGCGCACGGGUGAGUAACACAUGGCUGACCUGCCCUUCAGAGGGGGACAACCACUGGAAACGGUGGCUAAUACCCCAUAUGCUCACGGUGUUUAGAAGGCUGUGAGGAAAAGUUCCGGCGCUGAAGGAGGGGGCUGUGGCCCAUCAGCUAGUUGGUGCGGUAAUGGCGCACCAAGGCAGAGACGGGUAGGGGGCCUGAGAGGGUGACCCCCCACACGGGUACUGAGAUACGGACCCGACUCCUACGGGAGGCUG
RNAcentral lists this ribosomal RNA (324 nucleotides) under uncultured Chloroflexota bacterium. RNAcentral describes it as "bacterial SSU rRNA". It matches the Rfam family "Bacterial small subunit ribosomal RNA", at positions 28 to 351 of the family's 1533-position model. Lineage: Bacteria; Bacillati; Chloroflexota. The record is from RNAcentral.